GGAGAACAACCAAUUUUUGGUGGUCAAAUCUUUCCUUCAGUUGUGUCCAUAAAGACAAAGGAUCUUUGACUGUUAAAUACUCAGUCUUUAAUCCUUCAUCAAUAUGGUGACGAAUAAAAAUUAUGGCUUUUGCAUUUUGUGCCGAAGUAGCUGUAUUUCCUGAUUCAAUAGUCUUUUCUAACUCAUUUGCACUAAGGUGUAAUUCUGCAUCAAGUGCCCAAGCCAAAUAGUUGUCUCCAGAUAUUUUCAAAAUAGAAAAAUCUAUUUUUGCCAAGUUUGCCAUCUAUUCUGGGUUAAAACACAAUUUUAUUAUUUAUUAAAACAAUAAAUAAUUGCAUGUAUGAAAUAUGAAAAAUAAACUACGUCACGAUCUCAAGUGGUGAUAAAAUGCAAAUAUAAAUAUUCUUAUAUUUAUGUUAUUAGCAUAAUGCAAAUGGAUCUUCACCCGGCAUGCGGUAGUUCGCUUAGACAGAUUAUUCCAACAGAAUAAUAAAUAAUGAAAUAACAGAAGAAUUUCACCAUGCAUGCGAUAGACCGACCGUACAGACAGGUUAUUCCCAACAGAAUAAUAAAAAACAGAACCACGUCAGGCGAAAUUCGCACCGACAGGAUAUUCCAACAGAAUAAUAAAUGCGGAAUAAUAAAUAAUGGAACCAGGUCAGGUGAAAUUCACACCGACAUGAUAUUUCGACAGAAUAUUAAAUGUGGAAUAAUAAAUAAUGGAACCAGGUCAGGUGAAAUUCACACCGACAGGAUAUUCCGA
RNAcentral lists this long non-coding RNA (763 nucleotides) under Panax ginseng (ginseng). RNAcentral's name for it is "long non-coding RNA (PGIN_LNC003169)". The record is from RNAcentral. Lineage: Eukaryota; Viridiplantae; Streptophyta; Magnoliopsida; Apiales; Araliaceae.